AUUGAACGCUGGCGGCAGGCCUAACACAUGCAAGUCGAGCGGAUGAAGGGAGCUUGCUCCUGGAUUCAGCGGCGGACGGGUGAGUAAUGCCUAGGAAUCUGCCUGGUAGUGGGGGAUAACGUCCGGAAACGGGCGCUAAUACCGCAUACGUCCUGAGGGAGAAAGUGGGGGAUCUUCGGACCUCACGCUAUCAGAUGAGCCUAGGUCGGAUUAGCUAGUUGGUGGGGUAAAGGCCUACCAAGGCGACGAUCCGUAACUGGUCUGAGAGGAUGAUCAGUCACACUGGAACUGAGACACGGUCCAGACUCCUACGGGAGGCAACUGUGGAGAAUAUUGGACAAUGGGCGAAAGCCUGAUCCAGCCAUGCCGCGUGUGUGAAGAAGGUCUUCGGAUUGUAAAGCACUUUAAGUUGGGAGGAAGGGCAGUAAGUUAAUACCUUGCUGUUUUGACGUUACCAACAGAAUAAGCACCGGCUAACUUCG
RNAcentral lists this ribosomal RNA (482 nucleotides) under uncultured bacterium. RNAcentral describes it as "partial 16S ribosomal RNA". It matches the Rfam family "Bacterial small subunit ribosomal RNA", at positions 30 to 505 of the family's 1533-position model. The record is from RNAcentral.